AUUUUAUUCUUUGAUUUUCUCUCAAAAUUUUCUUAACAAAAAUUAUCGGGAAUAUUGCGUAGAUCGUUUAUAUAUAUUUGCAUGUUCGUUUGAGAUCCAGCGAGUUUUGUCGCGGAAACCGGCGAGCAAAGGUUUUGAUAUUUCAACGGGUGAUAUUUUUAUAUUUGGAAUAAGCGAGUACUGCGAGUAGUUUGAGGUGUGGAUUUCCAAUUUCUUGUUCCGGAAAUUCCUGGCUUGAAUAAAGUGAGAAUGACUUUUCCUUUAUGUGUCUAGAGUUGCAGUAGCUAGAAUAAAUGAACGAUGAUACCUUAGUAGUCGUUGGACUUAUUUAUGCUUUAUAUUUUAUUAUAACGCUUAAACUCUGAUAUAAUGUAAUGUGUAAUGCUGUGCGAAA
Mercurialis annua (annual mercury) is the source of this 394-nucleotide long non-coding RNA. RefSeq lists it as uncharacterized. NCBI's taxonomy places the organism in Eukaryota, Viridiplantae, Streptophyta, Magnoliopsida, Malpighiales, Euphorbiaceae. The record is from RefSeq and is a predicted model, not a curated record. The transcript has 3 exons.